GAGGGUAUAGCUCAGUGAUAGAGCACAUGCUUAGCAUGCACAAGGUCCUGGGUUCAAUCCCCAGUAUCGCCU
This 72-nucleotide transfer RNA is filed under the name Camelus bactrianus (Bactrian camel). It matches the Rfam family "tRNA". Rfam says of the family: Transfer RNA (tRNA) molecules are approximately 80 nucleotides in length. Their secondary structure includes four short double-helical elements and three loops (D, anti-codon, and T loops). Lineage: Eukaryota; Metazoa; Chordata; Mammalia; Artiodactyla; Camelidae. RNAcentral also lists the same sequence under 3 other names. The record is from Rfam by way of RNAcentral.